Molecule: ribosomal RNA, 497 nt
Filed under: uncultured bacterium
Lineage: Bacteria
Description: partial 16S ribosomal RNA
Rfam family: Bacterial small subunit ribosomal RNA
Source: RNAcentral
GAUGAACGCUGGCGGCGUUCCUAAUACAUGCAAGUCGAGCGAACAGACGAGGAGCUUGCUCCUCUGACGUUAGCGGCGGACGGGUGAGUAACACGUGGAUAACCUACCUAUAAGACUGGGAUAACUUCGGGAAACCGGAGCUAAUACCGGAUAAUAUAUUGAACCGCAUGGUUCAAUAGUGAAAGACGGUUUUGCUGUCACUUAUAGAUGGAUCCGCGCCGCAUUAGCUAGUUGGUAAGGUAACGGCUUACCAAGGCAACGAUGCGUAGCCGACCUGAGAGGGUGAUCAGCCACACUGGAACUGAGACACGGUCCAGACUCCUACGGGAGGCAGCAGUAGGGAAUCUUCCGCAAUGGGCGAAAGCCUGACGGAGCAACGCCGCGUGAGUGAUGAAGGUCUUCGGAUCGUAAAACUCUGUUAUUAGGGAAGAACAAAUGUGUAAGUAACUAUGCACGUCUUGACGGUACCUAAUCAGAAAGCCACGGCUAACUACGUG